AGAUUGAACGCUGGCGGCAGGCCUAACACAUGCAAGUCGAGCGGCAGCACGGGUACUUGUACCUGGUGGCGAGCGGCGGACGGGUGAGUAAUGCCUAGGAAUCUGCCUGGUAGUGGGGGAUAACGCUCGGAAACGGACGCUAAUACCGCAUACGUCCUACGGGAGAAAGCAGGGGACCUUCGGGCCUUGCGCUAUCAGAUGAGCCUAGGUCGGAUUAGCUAGUUGGUGAGGUAAUGGCUCACCAAGGCGACGAUCCGUAACUGGUCUGAGAGGAUGAUCAGUCACACUGGAACUGAGACACGGUCCAGACUCCUACGGGAGGCAGCAGUGGGGAAUAUUGGACAAUGGGCGAAAGCCUGAUCCAGCCAUGCCGCGUGUGUGAAGAAGGUCUUCGGAUUGUAAAGCACUUUAAGUUGGAGGAAGGCAUUUACCUAAUACGUAAGUGUUUAGACGUUACGACAGAAUAAGCACCGGCUAACUCGUGUGACCAGCA
Molecule: ribosomal RNA, 493 nt
Filed under: uncultured soil bacterium
Lineage: Bacteria
Description: bacterial SSU rRNA
Rfam family: Bacterial small subunit ribosomal RNA
Source: RNAcentral